UGGCUCUUUGUUCCGCAGCUUAAGCCCACAUCCAGUAAUCCUUUCACCUUCCUCUUCCUAUUAUCCCCUCUUGAGUCAUAAAGCUCCAUCCUUUACAGGAACUUUGAACUGCCAUAAAACUCUUCUGAUUCCCUCAGCUUUAAUCCUUAUGAAGCCUCUGUUUUAAUUCAACUUCCAACCGUCAUCAAAUCAGUUCAACAACGCAAAUCUCCCAGAUUACCUCCAUCACGGUUUACAAAACCCGAACAAAAAGUUGGAUUCAACUAGGACGACACCGAUAUCACGGUCUAGAAGACCUCCCAAAGAAAACGAUGUUGUGAUCGGUAAAGGCUUCUUCGAGUCAUUUGUCCAUGGUAAGAAGAACAAGACUGUGCUUAGAUCCACGUUCAUGAGCCUCUAAGAGAUCUGGACAAGCUGUCUCCGAUCUUAUCUCAAAUAAUUUUCUGGAGAAUCAUCAGAUCAGUUCGAGGAAUUUUCCAAGUUCACGUCGACACAGGCCAGAAAAUAUGGGUAACUAUAUGUUCCGACAAGGUUGUGAUUUUCUAGCUGGUUAAAUAAUGGGUACUUCAGUGUUAUGAAGAUCCGAUCAUUGAUUCUCAGCAAGUGAUGUUCCAUAAUUUUCCCAAAUCUUAUCGUCUUCUACUUUAAACAAUGAAGCAGAGAAGAAGAUCCUCAGCUAUCUUAAAUUGACAGAAGCAGAGAAGAAGAUCCUCACAAAGGAGAAACUUGAGCGGAAGAAAAAUGGAUGUUAAGGUGGUUAUAGAGGAAGAUUUUGAGGAGUUUUAUCAGGCCCGUGUCCACUUGCCAUGAAAGAUAAUGCUGUUACACCAUAUCUUAAAGAGGAGGAAGAUGAUAUUUCUUAUUAUUCACUUUGUGAUUUAGAGAUUUGCCUUUUUCAGAACCACUUUUACACCAUAUCUUAAGUUAGGAUUUCUUUAGGCAGUUUCUUUGUGUUUAGUUUAUGUUAAACGCAGUAGUAAGCAUUGCAGGACCUGUAACGAGUGUUGAAUGAUUUGAUCAAAAUUUAAGGGUAAGGGGUUUGGUGGUUCAACACCUGAAUUCAAAACUGUUUUCCUAUUUGUUUGUUUACCCAUAAAUUUUCUCUUAUGAUUUUUUUUUUUAUAAUCAGUGGCUCAGUAACUACGCUGAGAAAAAGAAAUAUACCAUUUUCAUACUUCUAAUGGUUUGUCUUACUCAUGAUGUGUAUUGCCAGAAACCUAUAGAUCAUUCAAGUCACGAGAUCGACUGGAUUUGUUACAACAGCUAAUGAUAGAAGGUGGAAGUGGAACAACAAUUGACAUAACCGUCAGAUGUUUUGUGGACAAGAAAGGGAUGGAAACCAAAUUGAUGUGAAGUCUUAUGUUACAUUGGUUUUGUUAAUGGCCUAUGCUUCAGCAACCAUGGGGCAGCUUUUCCUCUUCCAUGUCGUUCUCAUCAGAAAGAUGAAAGCUCCGUUUUCGAUUCGCCUGAAAGACCAAGACAAACGUUGAUCUCAAAGUUUAUGUACAAGAAAGCAAAUGAGCAGAGACUAACAUCCAUAAAGAUAGAAGGGGAUGGGCGUUCAACUUCUUCAAUGCUGAUCAACAAGAAACCAGGUUUCUAUGGAAGCAUAGACCUAUGGAAGCUGAUCACCUUAAGCUGAUAUAUCGAUGAAUGCAGACCUCUGCGGAAGAGUGCAUAGUGUUUAAUGCGUUGUGUUAUCUGUGUUAGCAGAUCGCGACUACACUCAAUGCAAUCACUCAAUUUUUUUUAUGGGUGUUCUAGAAUUGUUUUGGGCCCUAUGCUAAAUUUUAUUGGUUGCAGUUGUUAAAGAUUUAGAGGAUGGGUCAUGCGGGUCAUACUUCUCAGAUGUGGAAAACACUGGAGAGAAGUACGGAGUUAGGUCUCCACUAUAUGAAACCUCAAGGAAAAAGAGGACAACAAGGCAAAGUAUGGAUCAGAUAAGAGAUGUAUCCUAUUGCCAUUGACAGAGCGGGUGGGUUCAUAACCAGUAGGCGGAAUGUUUUGAAUUAACCUUACAUAACCUGAUUGCCUACAUUUUCAUUGAAUGAAGAUUAGAAGUUACAGCUACCUUCCUUUUUCUUUGUAGUCUAAUACUGUAUGUCGUAAACAUUCAAGAUAAAUCGGAAGAGUAGACGUGGCCGUUAACAAGUA
This is an RNA transcript of Raphanus sativus (radish), 2154 nucleotides long. It is a transcript of the gene named protein S-acyltransferase 18, with no coding region annotated. The transcript has 7 exons. The record is from RefSeq and is a predicted model, not a curated record. NCBI's taxonomy places the organism in Eukaryota, Viridiplantae, Streptophyta, Magnoliopsida, Brassicales, Brassicaceae.